AGAAUCAACGCUGGCGGCGUGCCUAACACAUGCAAGUCGAACGAGAAAGGGACUUUCGGGUCCCUAGUAAAGUGGCGCACGGGUGAGUAACACGUGACUAACCUACCCUUGAGUGGGGAAUAACUUCGAGAAAUCGAGGCUAAUUCCGCAUAAUACCUACGGGUCAAAGGAGCAAUUCGCUUAAGGAGGGGGUCGCGGCAGAUUAGCUAGUUGGCGGGGUAAUGGCCCACCAAGGCAGUGAUCUGUAUCCGGCCUGAGAGGGCGCACGGACACACUGGAACUGAAACACGGUCCAGACUCCUACGGGAGGCAGCAGUGGGGAUUUUGCGCAAGUGGGGGAAACCCUGACGCAGCAACGCCGCGUGGAGGAUGAAGUCUCUUGGGACGUAAACUCCUUUCGAUCGGGACGAUAAUGACGGUACCGAUAGAAGAAGCCCCGGCUAACUUCGCGCCAGCAGCCGC
RNAcentral lists this ribosomal RNA (462 nucleotides) under uncultured bacterium. RNAcentral's name for it is "SSU rRNA". It matches the Rfam family "Bacterial small subunit ribosomal RNA", at positions 26 to 518 of the family's 1533-position model. The record is from RNAcentral.